UACGGAAGGCAGCAGUGGGGAAUAUUGCACAAUGGGCGCAAGCCUGAUGCAGCCAUGCCGCGUGUAUGAAGAAGGCCUUCGGGUUGUAAAGUACUUUCAGCGGGGAGGAAGGCGAUGCGGUUAAUAACCGCGUCGAUUGACGUUACCCGCAGAAGAAGCACCGGCUAACUCCGUGCCAGCAGCCGCGGUAAUACGGAGGGUGCAAGCGUUAAUCGGAAUUACUGGGCGUAAAGCGCACGCAGGCGGUCUGUUAAGUCAGAUGUGAAAUCCCCGGGGCUUAAACCCUGGGAACUGCAUUUUGAAACUGGCAGGCUUGAGUCUUGUAGAGGGGGUUACGAAUUCCAGGUGUAGCGGUGAAACUGCGUAGAGAUCUGGAGGAAUACCGGUGGCGAAGGUCGGCCCCUGGACAAGACUGACGCUCAGGU
Molecule: ribosomal RNA, 425 nt
Filed under: uncultured bacterium
Lineage: Bacteria
Description: bacterial SSU rRNA
Rfam family: Bacterial small subunit ribosomal RNA
Source: RNAcentral